This 508-nucleotide ribosomal RNA is filed under the name uncultured bacterium. RNAcentral describes it as "partial 16S ribosomal RNA". It matches the Rfam family "Bacterial small subunit ribosomal RNA", at positions 28 to 523 of the family's 1533-position model. The record is from RNAcentral.
GAUGAACGCUAGCGGCAGGCUUAAUACAUGCAAGUCGAGGGGCAGCAGGUCCCGCAGCAAUGCGGGAUGCUGGCGACCGGCAAACGGGUGCGGAACACGUACAGAACCUUCCUUUAAGUGGGGAAUAGCCCGGGGAAACCCGGAUUAAUACCCCGUAACAUAAUGAAGUGGCAUCACUUUAUUAUUAUAGCAGCAAUGCGCUUGAAGAUGGCUGUGCGGCUGAUUAGGUAGUUGGCGGGGUAACGGCCCACCAAGCCUACGAUCAGUAACUGGUGUGAGAGCACGACCAGUCACACGGGCACUGAGACACGGGCCCGACUCCUACGGGAGGCAGCAGUAAGGAAUAUUGGGCAAUGGACGCAAGUCUGACCCAGCCAUGCCGCGUGGAGGAUGAAGGUCCUCUGGAUUGUAAACUUCUUUUAUCUGGGAAGAAAUCUAUUUUUUCUAAAGUAGUUGACGGUACCAGAUGAAUAAGCACCGGCUAACUCCGUGCCAGCCGCCGCCGUAA